This 253-nucleotide ribosomal RNA is filed under the name uncultured bacterium. Its description in RNAcentral is "partial 16S ribosomal RNA". It matches the Rfam family "Bacterial small subunit ribosomal RNA", at positions 524 to 776 of the family's 1533-position model. The record is from RNAcentral.
UACAGAGGUCUCAAGCGUUGUUCGGAAUUACUGGGCGUAAAGGGCGCGUAGGCGGUCUGCUAAGUUGGAUGUGAAAACUCUGGGCUUAACCCAGAGCCUGCAUUCAAUACUGACAGGCUAGAGUUCUGGAGGGGAUAGCGGAAUUCCUGGUGUAGCGGUGAAAUGCGUAGAUAUCAGGAGGAACACCGGUGGCGAAGGCGGCUAUCUGGACAGAGUCUGACGCUGAGGCGCGAAAGCUAGGGGGGCAAACAGG